GCCUCGAUAGUUCAACGGAUAGAACAGUAGCCUUCUAAGCUACAUAUCUAGGUUCGAUUCCUAGUCGGGGUA
RNAcentral lists this transfer RNA (72 nucleotides) under Caudoviricetes sp. RNAcentral describes it as "tRNA-Arg". It matches the Rfam family "tRNA". Rfam says of the family: Transfer RNA (tRNA) molecules are approximately 80 nucleotides in length. Their secondary structure includes four short double-helical elements and three loops (D, anti-codon, and T loops). Lineage: Duplodnaviria; Heunggongvirae; Uroviricota; Caudoviricetes. The record is from RNAcentral.